Molecule: ribosomal RNA, 468 nt
Filed under: uncultured bacterium
Lineage: Bacteria
Description: partial 16S ribosomal RNA
Rfam family: Bacterial small subunit ribosomal RNA
Source: RNAcentral
GACGAACGCUGGCGGCGUGCUUAACACAUGCAAGUCGAACGGAAAGGCCCUGCUUGUGUGGGGUGCUCGAGUGGCGAACGGGUGAGUAACACGUGAGUAACCUGCCCUUGACUUUGGGAUAACUUCAGGAAACUGGGGCUAAUACCGGAUAGGAGCUCCUGCUGCAUGGUGGGGGUUGGAAAGUUUCGGCGGUUGGGGAUGGACUCGCGGCUUAUCAGCUGGUUGGUGGGGUAGUGGCUUACCAAGGCUUUGACGGGUAGCCGGCCUGAGAGGGUGACCGGCCACAUUGGGACUGAGAUACGGCCCAGUCUCCUACGGGAGGCAGCAGUGGGGAAUAUUGCACAAUGGGCGGAAGCCUGAUGCAGCAACGCCGCGUGCGGGAUGACGGCCUUCGGGUUGUAAACCGCUUUCGCCUGUGACGAAGCGUGAGUGACGGUAAUGGGUAAAGAAGCACCGGCUAACUACGUG